This 253-nucleotide ribosomal RNA is filed under the name uncultured bacterium. RNAcentral describes it as "partial 16S ribosomal RNA". It matches the Rfam family "Bacterial small subunit ribosomal RNA", at positions 524 to 776 of the family's 1533-position model. The record is from RNAcentral.
UACGAAGGGUGCAAGCGUUGUUCGGAAUCAUUGGGCGUAAAGCGCGCGCAGGCGGAUCAGCAAGUCAGAUGUGAAAUCUCGAAGCCCAACUUCGAAACAGCGUCUGAAACUGCUAGUCUAGAAUGUCGGAGGGGGCAGGGGAAUUUCACGUGUAGGGGUAAAAUCCGUAGAGAUGUGAAGGAACACCGGGGGCGAAGGCGCCUGCCUGGACGACUAUUGACGCUGAGGCGCGAAAGCGUGGGGAGCAAACAGG